AUACGGAGGGUGCAAGCGUUACUCGGAAUCACUGGGCGUAAAGCGCGCGCAGGCGGCUAUUUAAGUUGGAUGUGAAAGCCUACGGCUCAACCGUAGAACUGCAUCCAAAACUAUUUAGCUAGAGUGUGGGAGAGGAAGAUGGAAUAGUUGUGUAGGGGUAAAAUCCGUAGAGAUAACUAGGAAUACCAAAAGCGAAGGCAAUCUUCUGGAACACUACUGACGCUGAGGCGCGAAGGCGUGGGGAGCAAACAGAAUUAGAAACCCCAGUAGUCC
RNAcentral lists this ribosomal RNA (273 nucleotides) under uncultured bacterium. RNAcentral's name for it is "partial 16S ribosomal RNA". It matches the Rfam family "Bacterial small subunit ribosomal RNA", at positions 523 to 796 of the family's 1533-position model. The record is from RNAcentral.